UGGGGAAUUUUGGACAAUGGGCGAAAGCCUGAUCCAGCAAUGCCGCGUGUGUGAAGAAGGCCUUCGGGUUGUAAAGCACUUUUGUCCGGAAAGAAAUCCUUGGCUCUAAUACAGUCGGGGGAUGACGGUACCGGAAGAAUAAGCACCGGCUAACUACGUGCCAGCAGCCGCGGUAAUACGUAGGGUGCAAGCGUUAAUCGGGAAUUACUGGGCGUAAAGCGUGCGCAGGCGGUUUGCUAAGACCGAUGUGAAAUCCCCGGGCUCAACCUGGGAACUGCAUUGGUGACUGGCAGGCUAGAGUAUGGCAGAGGGGGUAGAAUUCCACGUGUGAGCAGUGAAAUGCGUAGAGAUGUGGAGGAAUACCGAUGGCGAAGGCAGCCCCCUGGGCCAAUACUGACGCUCAUGCACG
Molecule: ribosomal RNA, 409 nt
Filed under: uncultured bacterium
Lineage: Bacteria
Description: partial 16S ribosomal RNA
Rfam family: Bacterial small subunit ribosomal RNA
Source: RNAcentral